AGGGAAGACUUCCUCGUCCCCAUUUCAAGUUUCCUGCAAAUUUGGCGGAAGGCUCUGUACGCACAACGAUGGUAGACGGUAGAGUACAAUCUGAAGAGAAACGCAAAAAGAAGAAGAGAAAGCUUAGAGAAUAUGAAGAGAAGGACAGAGACAGAAAGACUUUGCGUAUCGAUUUUCCGGAGGAGAAAGAAGGAGGAGAAGGAGAAAGAGAGAAACACGAAAAGGGAGAAACGAACCAAAAGUUUAAAGGAGGACGAUGGAAAAAUUUAGACUUGAUUUUAUCUCUCCAGAGCAAAGAAUAUGAUCUUCAAAGGAAAGUAGAACUCGGGUUCCAUUUCGUUAAUUCAAAAAUCGGUGAAGAGGGAGAUGACACCAAUGAAGCUGUUGAAAUGGUGAGCGUCUCUCGCUUAGUUAUAUUCCUCAAUGAAUGGAUUCAGUCCUUGUUAACUUCUUUGGACAAGAGAAUCAUUGUUGAAGGAAAGAAACCUCGGUCUGGGGUCACGGAGGCUUGUCUAGACUUUAGAUGCUGGGUUGUUUUUAAAUUCUGCCUGGAGGAGUCUACGAACCAGAACGUGUCACUGAGCUUCUCUCCAAAUCUUUUGCGAGCAAUGUCUUGCAUUUUAAGGGAUGCAAUAUCAACAGUGGAUAGUAUGCUGCAGCAUGGGGAAGAGCUGGUUCUUAUCGGUGAAGAGUUUGAACUCUACACUGUUGUGGCGGAUUGUGUUACCUUGCUGUUCUCUUCUCGUGGUAGGGUGUUUAAUGCCAAUAUGGACUUGUGGGCUUCGAUGGUUAUGUUGGUGCUUGAGCUUGACCACAAGAUUUUAUCUUAUAAAUUAGCUUUUGGUAAUGCAGCCUCCCUUCUACUGCGCUUGUCGGGUCUGUUGCUUGAGCCCUUUACUAAUUUAUUAAGGGUUCACCCAAGUCCAAAAAAUGUAUUUCCUGUGAUCGUGGAUAGGCUUCUAGAGCCGCUACUGAGUUUGUUGAACAUGUUGUAUCUUCAGACAAAUGGAGCUAGUUCUGCAUUCACAGAAAAUUUAUUGAAGAUUGCUGAAGAUAUUUUGUUGAAUGGGCUAUUCCAUCCAGCCCAUGUUGAUGGUUUUCUAACCACACGCACCACAGAAAAGUAUAUAGGGUGUCAUGAUAGGAAAAUUAAAGACACGAUAAUGCUUAUUAAAAGCUAUCACAGGCGUUUCUUCCAGAAAUUAGAAAAAAUCAUGAGUGAGAAGACAGUGUCAGUACUAGGUGGUGUUGGAGAGCUCUUUCGCCUGUUUGUUAUCAGAGUAAAGAAGCAAAAGCGAGCUUCAGUCCUGUCUGAGGGUACCAAGAAGAUGAAAAAGACAAUAAUAGCAAAACACGUAGAAGGUGUUAAUACAAGUUCUGCGUCUAAUCUCUCUGCUAGGUACAAUGAUAUAGUCUCAGAAAAGGCUUAUUUUUCAAGUAGGCUGGACAUGGAAACAUGUAAAACCCUAUUUGAUCUCUUUGCACAGUUUAUGGAAUAUUUGCUACUUGAUCUUAAAAGGUAUUCUGAAAUUGAUCUGGAAGAAGAGCCGCCAUUGUUGGAUAUUCAUUGCAGUCUCAAAUGUACUAAUAAGAUAAUUUCCAGUUUUAUGCGGGAAAAAAUAUACGUACAGACUGAGGAUACGACUGAGGGAGCACAUAUUAAUUUCUUGAAGUUGGUCUAUGAUACAAUUAUAUCAUUUUCUGCAAAAAUACAGCUACUCUGGUUGUCGGAAUUGAAGAGAGGUGAGGGAAGGCAUAAGGAGAUGCUGCCUUCAAUAGCCAAGGAGCUUUUUGUUGCUGUAUGCUUAUUCCUGGAAAUUGAAUACAAGGUUGUUGAGAAUGAUUUGGUAAGUUUGUGGCUUAUGAUGCUCUCAUUCUUGGCUAUUGAACAGUCUCAAAGUGAUACAGCAUGCGGAAAUGUGUUAAGUUCAGAAAUUCUGCACCUUGGAUGCCAGUUGAUUAAUAUCUAUAGCGAGCUGCGCCAGGUUAAUGUUCCCAUAUUUGCGCUAUCUAAGUCAGUGAGGAUUUUUGGAUUUUGUGAUGAUGACGGUCAAAUGAGUUAUUCAAGAUUCAUUUCAGCACCUUCAUUGCCCUCUGAAGCAUGUAUAAGGUCAGUGGCAACGUUAUUAUGCUCACCAGAUUUUAGGCUUGCUAUUUCUAGUGCUAUCAAGUCCAUACCGGAAGGGCAAGCCAGUGGAUGCAUCCGUAUGUUGAAAUCAGAUAUAGUACUGUCCUUAGAAUGGAUGAAAGUUACUUCUUUGAGGGAUUCCGCAGGAGAAUUGGGGAAAGCUAAUUUAUUAAGUAACAGCAUGUUGGUUUUAAAUUUGCAAGCUGAACUUUUAGGAAGGGCUUUGUCUGAAGUGUACACCAUUAUAUUAGAUUCUUCAACUGUAACUACUGGUAACAGUAUUCUUGUUGGAAGCUCUGUGAAGGAUCUGAUGACUGAAAUAUGUCCGACCUUAGGUUUCCUGGUUGGAGAGCAGAAUGAGAGUGUCAAUGAGUUCCUCUUUUCUGUCACAGGAAGAAGGUUUUCCAAUCAUAAGAUGCCUGACCAUGAAAAUAAUUUAUCUACAACAGGGACCGUCACUGCCUGGAUUUUAAUGUUUUUCUUUCGUUUGUAUGUUUCUUGCCGAAGCUUGUACCGGCAAUCAAUCAGCCUUAUGCCUCCUGAUUCUUCAAGAAAGGCAUCCGCAGCAAUGGGAGAUUUGUUUACAGCAUACUCUGGAAAGGAUUGGAUGGAGAAGACAGACUGGGCUGAUGACGGUUAUUUUUCUUGGAUUAUCAAACCUUCAGCUUCUCUUCUGACCGCUAUAGAAUCUGUUUCAAAAGUUUGUCUUCUGCACAAUGUUGCUGAAUGUCCCCCCCUUGUCUAUGUUUUUCAUACCAUGGCUUUCCAGAGGAUUGUGGAUUUAAAUAUGCGGAUAAAAGCUUCUGAAUUCUCACAGGAGAGGGUUGUAAGGUUGGUCCAACUGGAAAUGGAUGAUGCUGGGUUACGUCUGUCUCGUAAAGAAAAGAAAAAGUGGAAAAGGAAAAUAUCAAUUCUUAAGAAAGAGGCAUCUGAUCUUACUAGCUUCAUGAUGGCAUACCUCCCUUUAAUUGCUAAGCGGGAAAUUUCAGACUCUCUGACUUUUAAGGGAAAAGAUGCAUGUGUUGCUCAUGAAAAUGAAGCAUGGGAUUUCUGUGUAUCUUCUAUUAAUGAAAAGUCAUUGCCUACUGCACUUUGGUGGAGUCUUUGCCAAAACACUGAUAUUUGGUGUUCUCAUGCUUCUAAGAAGGAGCUGAAGAAAUUUUUAUCCCUUCUUCUCUAUAAUUACUUAUAUUGCAUGAGAAGCAGUUUAGGGGACAUUAAAAAGCAAAACAUGAAUGAAAGUCAUGAAACUGGGUAUCUAAGGAAAGUAGCUGUGCAUCAGAUCUCGUUGGAACUUCUCAGGGACACUGUUCUUUAUGAGGAAACAUUCCUCUGCAGGCAUUUGAGAUCAAGAUUCUGCCAUAUACUGGAGGAGUCAAUAGCACCACAAUUUUGGGAUUCUCUGACCAAGGGUGUUAAUUUUAGUUCAUUACCUAAUUGGCCAGAGGUUUUGGGGUUGCUAGAAGAAUCAUCAGUGCUUGUUCUUAAAGGCACAGAUGUUGCACAUGGUGCCUCUAGAAUGGAAAGACAGGAUUCUGUUCCUUCUAAUUUUCCAUCCAUGGGAAGCCUAAAGGGACCGAAAGCCUUACACACUACCGGCAUGGGACUUGAAGCUUGUCAAACUUUGAUUCAUUUCCUAAGUUGGAUGCCAAAAAGUUAUUCAAAUUCAAGAUCAUGCUUAAUUUAUGCAACUUACAUUCUAAAUCUUGAAAGGCUUGUGGUUUUUGGCUUAUUAGAUUUUCAUGGUGAACUAGACACGGUUAAUCACAGUGAUCUCUUGAGAUUGUUUGUAUCUUGCCGGAGGGCAUUGAAAUACUUAAUGAUAGCAUGUUCUGAGGAGAAGAUGGAAGUUGGAUCAUCAUCAGUUAUUUCAGUGCUCUUUGAGAGUUCGGGUUCUCUUUUAUGGCUUUUAAGGUCUGUUUUUGCAGUUCUUGGGCUCUCAAUCAUGGUUUCAGAAGCGUCUGGUGGCCCAGUGAAAGAUAUGGUCUUCUCGCUGAUGGACCAUACAUCCUAUGUGUUUUUGAUGGUAACCAAAGAACAUUUCCAUCUAGCAAUUCACUCCCUAAUAUAUGAUGAAAAUCCUUGUGGAGAAUUCCUCGAGUCUGGUAUGAUCUGUAAUGAAGAUAACUUAGUUGACUCUGAUCCAAGAUUUGACUACUCUGGACAUGCUAAUGCCUGGAAAGGUGUGGUACUUAUGGCGGACAUUUUGAAGGAACAGACACAAAGCUUCCUUGAAUCUCUAAAGAAUACCCAUUGUAAUGUAAACUUUGAACCUGGUGUUGAUGUUGUGAAUUUGAAUAAGUUAUCCUCUAUAAUAUCUUGUUUUCAAGGUUUUUUGUGGGGUCUUGCAUCUGUCUUGAACAAUGUACAUGAGAAGUGUUCCACAGCGAAAACAAAAUCAUUGAUACGGAAACUUGUUCAUAUCCCUGAACUCAGCCCCUGUAUCUCUGUGUUUGAGGAUCUUAUACUUCUUUACUUACAAGUACUGCUUUUUGAGAAUGGUCUUCCUAAGUUCAACAACAAUAAUGGUUCAUUGAGCUUCAAGGUGCCCUGUUGGUCUUUGCACAAAUAUUCUGGAGAUGAGGUAAUGAAUCCUGACAAGCAGGAAGAGAACAUUGAAGGUGGAAAGAAUGAUUUGGCAUUAGAUACUGACAAUUGUCAUGGAAGUGCUUUGAGUUCUGGAGUUAAUGGUUUUAGUGUUUGGAAGAAAAGUUUGCUCUCUGAAAAUUCUGAAUGUACUGACGAGGAUAUGCUGACUGAGUUUGAUCCAUUUGAGCUGCAAAAUCUGAAGAAGGAUUUGAUGCAAAAUUUGUUAAAAGGUGAACAUCCUGAAGUAGCAUUUUCAGUCCGACAACUUUUUGUUGCAGCUUCUGCUAUUCUAAGACUACAAUUGCAGAUUAAUUGCAGCCCCUUGUCAUCCACCUUGAUACCUAUUUUUGUUGGCAUUUCACAGUUCUUGUUAAUGGAGUUCUCAAACAUGAGUGCGAUGCCACACUCGUUUUCUUUUAUUUGGUUAGAUGGUGUUCUAAAAUAUCUUGAAGUUUUAGGGGGUCACUUUUCUUCAACCAAUCCCACAUCAUCUAGAAGUGCGUAUGCUCAACUAAUAGAUAUACAUUUAAGGGCUAUAGGGAAAUGCAUUUCUUUACAGGGAAAAGGAGCUACUCUUCAAUCUCAGGAGAGAGAAUUGGGUAAAGAGACACUUCAAGGUCAAAUAGGGUCAUUUGAAUCCCCUUUUUGUCAUGAGCUCUAUAGCUUGGGUGAGUUUAAAGCUAGGCUGAGGACGUCAUUCACAGUUUUCAUCAGGGAACCUCUAGAGCUGCACUUAUUGUCAGCAGUACAGGCUAUAGAGAGAGCACUGGUAGGUGUGCGGGAAGGCUGCAAUAUUUCUUAUGAGAUAAAUACUGGAAACCCAGAUGGGGGAAAAGUUUCAUCUGUUGUUGCAGCUGCGGUUGACUGCUUGGAUGUGGUCCUUGAAUCUGUUUCAGGGAGGAAGCGCUUGAACGUGGUUAGAAGACAUAUCCAAAGUUUCAUUAGUGCCUUAUUCAACAUAGUAGUACACUUGCAGAGUCCGCUAAUCUUCUGUGUGAAAUUAACCUGUGAUGAUAGAGAUACUGGUCCUGAUCCUGGAUCAGUCAUUCUUAUGUGUGUCCAGGUUCUAACAAAAGUUGCUGGAAAACAUGCCCUGUUUCAGAUGGAUUCUAGUCAUGUGGGACAGGCUCUACAUGUACCAGCAAUGCUUUUUAAAGAUUUCCGUCAGCUGAGAGCCCAAGCUACAUCCAAUUCUCUAUUCUUUAGCGAACAAGAAUCAAAGCCUGUAGCAGUUGUGGAUUCCUAUGUUGUAGUUCAGAAGUUUACAGUAGAGUUGUUUAGUGCAUGCUGCAGAUUAUUGUGUACCAUGGUUAGGCACCAUAAGAGUGAGACUGAACAAUGCAUUGCUCUGCUUGAAGAUUCAGUUUCUGUUCUCCUUGUUUGUUUGGAGACGGUGGAUACUGAUUUAAUGGCCAGAAAAGGUUACUUUGCUUGGGAUGUACAACAGGGAGUAAAGUGUGCUAGCUUUCUCCGGAGGAUAUAUGAAGAGAUAAGGCAGCAGAAGGACAUCCUGGGGCGGUAUUGUUUUCAAUUUCUGUCCAGUUACAUAUGGAUCUAUUCAGGAUAUGGUCCUUGUAAGACUGGCCUCAAAAGGGAAAUAGAUGAGGCUCUGAGACCAGGGGUCUAUGCUUUAGUCGACGCGUGCUCGUCAGAUGAUCUUCAACAUCUUCACACUGUAUUGGGAGAGGGACCUUGCAGGAGCACGCUGGCUACUCUGCAACAUGACUACAAACUGAAUUUCCAAUAUGAAGGAAAAGUCUGAUCUGAAUUAUUUCUUUUGCCAAAAUCAUCUUUAUUCCCCCAAGCGGCUGUUUAGAUAAUGAGAAAAGCUAUGUGGCGAGAGACUUGCAGAAUGGCAUUCACCAACACAAAUCAAGUUGAAUGUUGUCUUAGUUUCCUUAACCAAAGCCUUUCUAUGACAUAUUGACAUGAGAUUUAUGCCUUCCAGAUUCCCUGUUAUAGAGAAAACUGGAGAUAGCAAAAUGAAAAAUCACCACAAUUGAUUGGCAUCACGGGGUAAUGUCUCAGAACACAGAUACUAACAGGUAAACAUGAUAGAUUCAACAAUGUUGUAGACUAAAAAGAAAGCAUGUAAGUUUUCUUGAUUGAGGAAGGGCUGCAUCUUAAUAAUUACACUAUCAUUAGCCUUGAUGAAAAGCAAUCCAGUUUGUCUGAACUCUAAACUAAUGCCAUUGUAUCCUUCAAAUAUGAUCCAUAAUGAAGUUUUCUGUUGC
RNA transcript from Telopea speciosissima, 6951 nucleotides. RefSeq lists it as uncharacterized. The record is from RefSeq and is a predicted model, not a curated record. The transcript is spliced from 12 exons. NCBI's taxonomy places the organism in Eukaryota, Viridiplantae, Streptophyta, Magnoliopsida, Proteales, Proteaceae.